CGUAUUUUUCUUUUUAAUAACGCAGGUUAGAAUACGGGACAUUUACGAGAAAAUACUAAUACGGGAGGACGGCGGGAAAGAAGGGUAAAAUACGGGUCUUUCCCGGCCAAAACGGGAUACUUGACAGGUAUGAGACUGAGGCAAACGCAGAGUAAAAUUGGUGUCUUUAAUGACAACAAAAGGAAAACAAAAACCGAGUGCCGUGCACUACAAAAUAUAACAAGGCGAUACAGAACAUGAAAUAAACACUGGAACAUGACAUACAACACAAUGAGUGACCAGGACAGAGAGAAAAUGGGACCGUUACAAAGUUCCUCUUCAAUGAAAGAAAUCGCGUUCCUUUGGAUCCUUCAGCACCACGGCCAACAGGGCACAAUAUAAAGACACCCGCCUGAUGAAGAAGAGGCUGAUGAGGCAGUGAUAGAAGUGUCUCUGACUGUUGGCCUUGUUUUGAAGACCCUGGAGAAACUCUUGAUGAAAACUUUUCCUUGUUGAUGAGGAGCUUUGGCCACACAGACCACCAGAAAGAGAAUGUCUUCAUGAUGUUUUAAAUUGUUGUACUGUGGUUUAUUUUUAUGGGCCUGAUGUCAUUCACUGUGUUACCAUCAAUCACAAUGACUACACUCAUCCCCUUUCAAUGCAUGUGUACAUUUCAGAUCAACACAGUAAAAAUAAAAACUUCCAAUGUUAUUUCCACUUUACACAAUUACAAAAGAAUGAAUACUACCAGCUUCUCUGCAAUUACUUUUACAGGGAUUCAAUGUGAAGCUAGUCAGCAUCUAGUCAGCAUCUAGUCAGUUGUUUCAGGAGGACGGGGAGCAUGCCUAAUUCAAUAAUAUACAUGAUAGUCAUGCAAUAGGCUGGCUAGUUUUGAUGGAUUCAAGGUUAAAUCUACUUAUUCAAGUGAUUUUGUCAGACCACUCAGUUUAUGACCAGUGUUUUGGACGGGUAUGACAUAUGCCAUAUGUUAACACAACAAAAGCUGGAAGCGGACAUGCAGUCAAAUGACCUUUAAUGUUCUUUAUUUCACUGUAAAAACCAGUCAACUCCAGUACGGUAUUCAAGCAAAUUGGAUUUGAAAUGAUACAAUUACUAGUAUUUCAGUGGUUCACAAUUUUUGCUUUAUUUUGAAGGUAUGUUUAUUUUGAAGGUACCAUAUCAGAUUAACCUUUAAGAGAUUGCAGAA
Molecule: long non-coding RNA, 1186 nt
Organism: Esox lucius (northern pike)
Lineage: Eukaryota; Metazoa; Chordata; Actinopteri; Esociformes; Esocidae
Exons: 3
Source: RefSeq, a predicted model, not a curated record